UGAGGAAUAUUGGUCAAUGGGCGAGAGCCUGAACCAGCCAAGUAGCGUGCAGGAUGACGGCCCUCCGGGUUGUAAACUGCUUUUAGUUGGGAAUAAAAAAAGGGACUUGUCCCUUCUUGUAUGUACCUUCAGAAAAAGGACCGGCUAAUUCCGUGCCAGCAGCCGCGGUAAUACGGAAGGUCCAGGCGUUAUCCGGAUUUAUUGGGUUUAAAGGGAGCGUAGGCGGAUUGUUAAGUCAGCGGUUAAAGGGUGUGGCUCAACCAUGCAUUGCCGUUGAAACUGGUGAUCUUGAGUGCAGACAGGGAUGCCGGAAUUCGUGGUGUAGCGGUGAAAUGCUUAGAUAUCACGAAGAACUCCGAUCGCGAAGGCAGGUGUCCCGGCUGCAACUGACGCUGAGGCUCGAAAGUGUGGGUAUCAAACAGGAUUAGAUACCCUGGUAGUCCACACAGUAAACGAUGUAUACUCGCGGUUUGCGAUAGACAGUAAGCCGCCAAGCGAAAGCAUUAAGUAUACCACCUGGGGAGUACGCCGGCAACGGUG
Molecule: ribosomal RNA, 540 nt
Filed under: uncultured bacterium
Lineage: Bacteria
Description: bacterial SSU rRNA
Rfam family: Bacterial small subunit ribosomal RNA
Source: RNAcentral